Ctenopharyngodon idella (grass carp) is the source of this 1524-nucleotide long non-coding RNA. RefSeq lists it as uncharacterized. The record is from RefSeq and is a predicted model, not a curated record. Lineage: Eukaryota; Metazoa; Chordata; Actinopteri; Cypriniformes; Xenocyprididae. The transcript is spliced from 3 exons.
ACUGAUGAAAUUCUCAGGAAAGAACUAACAACACUCUUAGGAAAAAAAAAGGUUCAGUGGGUUCUAUAUAGAACACUAGGGUUCUCGACUUAAUUUUAAAGAACAUAUGAAGCGCCUGACGAACCCUUUAAGGUUCUACAUAUGAAGCGCCUGACGAACCCUUUAAGGUUCUACAUAUGAAGAGCCUGACGGACCCUUUAAGGUUCUACAUAUGAAGCGCCUGACGAACCCUUUAAGGUUCUACAUAUGAAGAGCCUGACGAACCCUUUAAGGUUCUGCAUAUGAAGAGCCUGACGAACCCUUUAAGGUUCUGCAUAUGAAGAGCCUGAUGAACCCUUUAAGGUUCUACAUAUGAAGCGCCUGACGAACCAUUUAAGGUUCUGCAUAUGAAGAGCCUGACGAACCCUUUAAGGUUCUGCAUAUGAAGCUCCUGACAAACCCUUUAAGGUUCUACAUAUGAAGCGUCUGAUGAACCCUUUAAGGUUCUACAUAUGAAGAGCCUGACGGACCCUUUAAGGUUCUACAUAUGAAGCGUCUGACGAACCCUUUAAGGUUCUACAUAUGAAGAGUCUGACGAACCCUUUAAGGUUCUACAUAUGAAGAGCCUGACGAACCCUUUAAGGUUCUGCAUAUGAAGAGCCUGACGAACCCUUUAAGGUUCUGCAUAUGAAGAGCCUGAUGAACCCUUUAAGGUUCUACAUAUGAAGCGCCUGACGAACCAUUUAAGGUUCUGCAUAUGAAGAGCCUGACGAACCCUUUAAGGUUCUGCAUAUGAAGCUCCUGACAAACCCUUUAAGGUUCUACAUAUGAAGCGUCUGAUGAACCCUUUAAGGUUCUACAUAUGAAGAGCCUGACGGACCCUUUAAGGUUCUACAUAUGAAGCGUCUGACGAACCCUUUAAGGUUCUACAUAUGAAGAGUCUGACGAACCCUUUAAGGUUCUACAUAUGAAGAGCCUGACGAACCCUUUAAGGUUCUGCAUAUGAAGAGCCUGAUGAACCCUUUAAGGUUCUACAUAUGAAGCGCCUGACGAACCCUUUAAGGUUCUGCAUAUGAAGAGCCUGACGAACCCUUUAAGGUUCUACAUAUGAAGAGCCUGACGAACCCUUUAAGGUUCUGCAUAUGAAGAGCCUGAUGAACCCUUUAAGGUUCUACAUAUGAAGCGCCUGACGAACCCUUUAAGGUUCUGCAUAUGAAGAGCCUGACGAACCCUUUAAGGUUCUACAUAUGAAGAGCCUGACGAACCCUUUAAGGUUCUGCAUAUGAAGAGCCUGACGAACCCUUUAAGGUUCUGCAUAUGAAGAGCCUGACGAACCCUUUAAGGUUCUGCAUAUGAAGCACCUGACGAACCCUUUAAGGUUCUACAUAUGAAGCGCCUGACGCACAACCUUCUAUCUUACUGAGAGUUUUUUAUCUUUAAAUAUUUUUCUUGAAAUAUUCAGGAAAUCAUGACACAUUCUCUCAUGUUUGCUGUGCCCUAAAUUCUGAUGUUUAUUCUAUCGUUGCGAUAUAGUUCAUGUUUCGU